GACGAACGCUGGCGGCGUGCCUAAUACAUGCAAGUUGAGCGCUGAAGGUUGGUACUUGUACCAACUGGAUGAGCAGCGAACGGGUGAGUAACGCGUGGGGAAUCUGCCUUUGAGCGGGGGACAACAUUUGGAAACGAAUGCUAAUACCGCAUAAAAACUUUAAACACAAGUUUUAAGUUUGAAAGAUGCAAUUGCAUCACUCAAAGAUGAUCCCGCGUUGUAUUAGCUAGUUGGUGAGGUAGAGGCUCACCAAGGCGAUGAUACAUAGCCGACCUGAGAGGGUGAUCGGCCACACUGGGACUGAGACACGGCCCAAACUCCUACGGGAGGCAGCAGUAGGGAAUCUUCGGCAAUGGACGAAAGUCUGACCGAGCAACGCCGCGUGAGUGAAGAAGGUUUUCGGAUCGUAAAACUCUGUUGGUAGAGAAGAACGUUGGUGAGAGUGGAAAGCUCAUCAAGUGACGGUAACUACCCAGAAAGGGACGGCUAACUACGUG
This 497-nucleotide ribosomal RNA is filed under the name uncultured bacterium. RNAcentral describes it as "partial 16S ribosomal RNA". It matches the Rfam family "Bacterial small subunit ribosomal RNA", at positions 28 to 507 of the family's 1533-position model. The record is from RNAcentral.